UACCCAAUCCUAACUCAGGGAGGUAGUGACAAUAAAUAUCAAUGCGGGGCUUUUUCAAGUCUUGCAAUUGGAAUGAGUACAAUCUAAAUCCCUUAACGAGGAUCAAUUGGAGGGCAAGUCUGGUGCCAGCAGCCGCGGUAAUUCCAGCUCCAAUAGCGUAUAUUAAAGUUGUUGCAGUUAAAAAGCUCGUAGUUGGAUUUCUGUGUCAAGCUUCUGGUCCGCUGCACUGCGGUGCUGACUAAGUUGCGUUGACUCAUCCUUGUGGGAAUCAGUCUGGGCUUCAUUGUCCGGCUGUUGCACCGCAUCUUUUACUGUGAAAAAAUUAGAGUGUUCAAAGCAGGCUUACGCUGUGAAUACAUUAGCAUGGAAUAAUAAGAUAGGACUUUGGUUCUAUUUUGUUGGUUGGAGACCAAGGUAAUGAUUAAUAGGGAUAGUUGGGGGUAUUCAUAUUUAAUUGUCAGAGGUGAAAUUCUUGGAUUUAUGAAAGAUGAACUUAUGCGAAAGCAUUUACCAAGGAUGUUUUCAUUAAUCAAGAACGAAAGUUAGGGGAUCGAAGAGGAUUAGAUACCCUCGUAGUCUUAACUAUAAACUAUGCCGACUCGGGAUUGGAGGGCGUAUAUUAAUGAGCCUUUCAGCACCGUAUGAGAAAUCAAAGUCUUUGGGUUCCGGGGGGAGUAUGGUCGCAAGAUUGAAACUUAAAGGAAUUGACGGAAGGGCACCACCAGGAGUGGAGCCUGCGGCUUAAUUUGACUCAACACGGGGAAACUCACCAGGUCCGGACAUAGUAAGGAUUGACAGAUU
Molecule: ribosomal RNA, 801 nt
Filed under: uncultured marine stramenopile
Lineage: Eukaryota
Description: SSU rRNA
Rfam family: Eukaryotic small subunit ribosomal RNA
Source: RNAcentral